UGAGAAUGCAAAUCCUUAGCU
This 21-nucleotide microRNA is filed under the name Arabidopsis thaliana (thale cress). RNAcentral's name for it is "ath-miR5663-3p". Lineage: Eukaryota; Viridiplantae; Streptophyta; Magnoliopsida; Brassicales; Brassicaceae. The record is from miRBase by way of RNAcentral.